Molecule: ribosomal RNA, 494 nt
Filed under: Lactiplantibacillus plantarum
Lineage: Bacteria; Bacillati; Bacillota; Bacilli; Lactobacillales; Lactobacillaceae
Description: bacterial SSU rRNA
Rfam family: Bacterial small subunit ribosomal RNA
Source: RNAcentral
CGAACGAACUCUGGUAUUGAUUGGUGCUUGCAUCAUGAUUUACAUUUGAGUGAGUGGCGAACUGGUGAGUAACACGUGGGAAACCUGCCCRGAAGCGGGGGAUAACACCUGGAAACAGAUGCUAAUACCGCAUAACAACUUGGACCGCAUGUCSRRGYUUGAAAGAUGGCUUCGGCUAUCACUUYUGGAUGGUCCCGCGGCGUAUUAGCUAGAUGGUGAGGUAACGGCUCACCAUGGCAAUGAUACGUAGCCGACCUGAGAGGGUAAUCGGCCACAUUGGGACUGAGACACGGCCCAAACUCCUACGGGAGGCAGCAGUAGGGAAUCUUCCACAAUGGACGAAAGUCUGAUGGAGCAACSCGCGUGAGUGAAGAAGGGUUUCGGCUCGUAAAACUCUGUUGUUAAAGAAGAACAUAUCUGAGAGUAACUGUUCAGGUAUUGACGGUAUUUAACCAGAAAGCCACGGCUAACUACGUGCCAGCMGCCGCGGUAAU